Molecule: ribosomal RNA, 395 nt
Filed under: uncultured bacterium
Lineage: Bacteria
Description: partial 16S ribosomal RNA
Rfam family: Bacterial small subunit ribosomal RNA
Source: RNAcentral
CCUACGGGGGGCAGCAGUGAGGAAUAUUGGUCAAUGGACGCAAGUCUGAACCAGCCAAGCCGCGUGCAGGAUGACGGCCCUAUGAGUUGUAAACUGCUUUUGUACGGGGGUAAACUCAGUCACGUGUGUCUUAUUGAAGGUAUCGUACGAAUAAGGACAGGCUAACUCCGUGCCAGCAGCCGCGGUAAUACGGAGGGUUCGGGCGUUGUCCGGAUUUAUUGGGUUUAAAGGGGGCGUAGGCGGGCGGUUAAGUUAGAGGUGAAAUGCCGCGGCGCAACGUUGGCACUGCCUCGGAUACUGGGAGGCUAGAGUGUGGGUGAGGUAGGCGGAAUUCGUGGUGUAGCGGUGAAAUGCUUAGAGAUCACGCAGAACACCGAUUGCGAAGGCAGCUUACC